GACGAACGCUGGCGGCGUGCUUAACACAUGCAAGUCGAACGGAAAGGCCCUGCUUUUGUGGGGUGCUCGAGUGGCGAACGGGUGAGUAACACGUGAGUAACCUGCCCUUGACUUUGGGAUAACUUCAGGAAACUGGGGCUAAUACCGGAUAGGAGCUCCUGCUGCAUGGUGGGGGUUGGAAAGUUUCGGCGGUUGGGGAUGGACUCGCGGCUUAUCAGCUUGUUGGUGGGGUAGUGGCUUACCAAGGCUUUGACGGGUAGCCGGCCUGAGAGGGUGACCGGCCACAUUGGGACUGAGAUACGGCCCAGACUCCUACGGGAGGCAGCGGGGGGGAAUAUUGCACAAUGGGCGGAAGCCUGAUGCAGCAACGCCGCGUGCGGGAUGACGGCCUUCGGUUUGUAAACCGCUUUCGCCUGUGACGAAGCGUGAGUGACGGUAAUGGGUAAAGAAGCACCGGCUAACUACGUG
RNAcentral lists this ribosomal RNA (468 nucleotides) under uncultured bacterium. RNAcentral's name for it is "partial 16S ribosomal RNA". It matches the Rfam family "Bacterial small subunit ribosomal RNA", at positions 28 to 507 of the family's 1533-position model. The record is from RNAcentral.